Molecule: long non-coding RNA, 430 nt
Organism: Neltuma alba
Lineage: Eukaryota; Viridiplantae; Streptophyta; Magnoliopsida; Fabales; Fabaceae
Exons: 2
Source: RefSeq, a predicted model, not a curated record
GUAACAAGUGGUCAGAAGUAUUUGAAAUGUAUAAACACAAAAGGACGCUACGCACGGCCAAAAUAACAGUGAAAAGGGAUCGAAAAGGGGACAUGACAGAAUGAGGAGUAGCAAAUCUUAGUAGUCUUCCCCAAAAAUGGCACAACUGUGCGUGCGGAGAGACGAAGUGUGGAAGGCGAAGUGGACGUGAACGAGUUGUGGCUCACUCUUUCUGAUUAUAAAAGAUGUCAUUUUAAUUAGUAACCAUUUAGAGAUUGAUUAAAAAUUAGAAGAAAGUAUAGCCACCGGCUGCAUGAUAUUCCCUAAAACCUUUGUGCUAUACAUGAUUUUUAACGUCGAGCCCCUCGUAUAUGUACUUAGUUUCUAGCUCUGCCCUUGUAAGAAGGCUUGUGGCAUUUUGUAUAUUAAACAAUGUCCAUUUUUCAUACCA